This 322-nucleotide ribosomal RNA is filed under the name uncultured eukaryote. RNAcentral's name for it is "partial 18S ribosomal RNA". It matches the Rfam family "Eukaryotic small subunit ribosomal RNA", at positions 1470 to 1796 of the family's 1831-position model. The record is from RNAcentral.
CCCUUAGAUGUUCUGGGCCGCACGCGUGCUACACUGAGUAAUUCAAUGGGUAAGGGAACGCUAGAGCAUUACCUAAUCUUGAAAUUUGCUCGUGAUGGGGAUCGACGGUUGCAAUUUUCCGUCGUGAACGAGGAAUACCUUGUAGGCGCAUGUCAUCAUCAUGCGCCGAAUACGUCCCUGCCCUUUGUACACACCGCCCGUCGCUCCUACCGAUUGAGUGAUCCGGUGAGGCUCUGGGACCUGGACGGAAAGAGCGUUUCGCUUGUUCUGUUUGGGAAACUUGGUCGAACCUUAUCAUCUAGAGGAAGGUGAAGUCGUAACA